CGGGUGGCAGCAGUGAGGAAUAUUGGUCAAUGGCCGGAAGGCUGAACCAGCCAAGCCGCGUGAAGGACGAAGGUGCCAAGCAUUGUAAACUUCUUUUGUCAAGGGACAAAAUCAGGCUCGAGAGCCUGACCGAGGGUACUUGAAGAAAAAGCAUCGGCUAACUCCGUGCCAGCAGCCGCGGUAAUACGGAGGAUGCGAGCGUUAUCCGGAUUUAUUGGGUUUAAAGGGUGCGUAGGCGGACUGUUAAGUCCGCGGUAAAAGCCCGGGGCUCAACCCCGGCGAGCCGUUGAAACUGGCGGUCUGGAGAGGGCGAGAGGUAGGCGGAAUGCGCAGUGUAGCGGUGAAAUGCUUAGAUAUUGCGCAGAACUCCGAUUGCGAAGGCAGCAUACCGGCGGCGAUCUGACGCUGAGGCACGAAAGCGUGGGUAUCGAACAGGAUUAGAUACCCUUGUAGUC
Molecule: ribosomal RNA, 455 nt
Filed under: uncultured bacterium
Lineage: Bacteria
Description: partial 16S ribosomal RNA
Rfam family: Bacterial small subunit ribosomal RNA
Source: RNAcentral